This 82-nucleotide transfer RNA is filed under the name Parachlamydia sp. RNAcentral's name for it is "tRNA-Leu". It matches the Rfam family "tRNA". Rfam says of the family: Transfer RNA (tRNA) molecules are approximately 80 nucleotides in length. Their secondary structure includes four short double-helical elements and three loops (D, anti-codon, and T loops). The record is from RNAcentral. RNAcentral also lists the same sequence under 1 other name. Lineage: Bacteria; Pseudomonadati; Chlamydiota; Chlamydiia; Parachlamydiales; Parachlamydiaceae.
GCCCAGAUGGUGAAAUUGGUAGACACGCCAGAUUUAGGUUCUGGUGCCGAAAGGUGUGUAGGUUCGAGUCCUAUUCUGGGCA